This is a long non-coding RNA of Mytilus californianus (California mussel), 208 nucleotides long. RefSeq lists it as uncharacterized. The record is from RefSeq and is a predicted model, not a curated record. Lineage: Eukaryota; Metazoa; Mollusca; Bivalvia; Mytilida; Mytilidae. The transcript is spliced from 3 exons.
AAACGAUUACCGAUUACAAAUGGACGAAACUGGUAUGUUUGAUUCGGAUGAGGAUUUAACAGAAAGAGAAAUGACAGCUCAAGAUAUCCUUAAAAGUUUAUCAAAGGAUUCUAAGACAACGACAACGGUGCAAAACAAUUACAAUAUCAUCACCAGCAAUGCAACUUUCCAAAAAGACUGCUUGGUAGAGGCCUUUACUGCAACCGCC